GAAUAUUGGACAAUGGGGGAAACCCUGAUCCAGCAAUGCCGCGUGAGUGAAGAAGGCCUUAGGGUUGUAAAGCUCUUUCGGCGGGGACGAUGAUGACGGUACCCGCAGAAGAAGCCCCGGCUAACUUCGUGCCAGCAGCCGCGGUAAUACGAAGGGGGCUAGCGUUGUUCGGAAUCACUGGGCGUAAAGGGCGCGUAGGCGGCUCGACAAGUCAGGCGUGAAAGCCCCGGGCUCAACCCGGGAAAUGCGCUUGAUACUGUCUUGUUUGAGUCCGGGAGAGGAUGGCGGAAUUCCCAGUGUAAAGGUGAAAUUCGUAGAUAUUGGGAAGAACACCGGUGGCGAAGGCGGCCAUCUGGACCGGUACUGACGCUGAGGCGCGAAAGCGUGGGGAGCAAACAGG
Molecule: ribosomal RNA, 400 nt
Filed under: uncultured bacterium
Lineage: Bacteria
Description: bacterial SSU rRNA
Rfam family: Bacterial small subunit ribosomal RNA
Source: RNAcentral